CUAACCUGCCCACUGAUUUAUUAAAGGGCCGCGGUAUAUUGACUGUGCAAAGGUAGCAUAAUCAUUUGUCUUUUAAUUGAAGGCUAGAAUGAAUGGUUGAAUGAAGUAUAAACUGUCUCAUUUUAAAAAAAAUAAAAAUUUAGUUUUUAAGUGAAAAAGCUUAAAUAAAAUUGGAGGACGAGAAGACCCUAUAGAUCUUUAUAUUUUAUUUUAUUUAAAAAAUUUAUAAUAAAUUAAUUUUAAAUAAAAUAAAAUAUUUAGUUGGGGUGACUGGAAAAUUUAAUAAACUAUUUUUAUUUAAUAACAUAAAUUUAUGAAUUAUUGAUCCAAUUUUAUUGAUUAAAAAUUUAAGUUACCUUAGGGAUAACAGCGUAAUUAUUUUAAAGAGUUCUUAUCGAUAAAAUAGAUUGCGACCUCGAUGUUGAAUUAAAGAU
RNAcentral lists this ribosomal RNA (434 nucleotides) under Gryposmylus pennyi. Its description in RNAcentral is "partial large subunit ribosomal RNA". It matches the Rfam family "Bacterial large subunit ribosomal RNA", at positions 1854 to 2545 of the family's 2925-position model. The record is from RNAcentral. Lineage: Eukaryota; Metazoa; Arthropoda; Insecta; Neuroptera; Osmylidae.